CGAAGCCAUUGCUAUGGGGUCCGACUAAGCCAUGCGAGUCAUGGGGGUGUCCCUUCUGGGACACCACCGGCGGACGGCUCAGUAACACGUCGGUAACCUACCCUCGGGAGGGGGAUAACCCCGGGAAACUGGGGCUAAUCCCCCAUAGGUGUGGGGUACUGGAAGGUCCCCACACCGAAAGGGGCUUCGUGCCCGCCCGAGGAUGGGCCGGCGGCCGAUUAGGUAGUUGGUGGGGUAACGGCCCACCAAGCCGAAGAUCGGUACGGGCCAUGAGAGUGGGAGCCCGGAGAUGGACACUGAGACACGGGUCCAGGCCCUACGGGGCGCAGCAGGCGCGAAACCUCCGCAAUGCGGGAAACCGCGACGGGGGGACCCCCAGUGCCGUGGCAACGCCACGGCUUUUCCGGAGUGUAAAAAGCUCCGGGAAUAAGGGCUGGGCAAGGCCGGUGGCAGCCGCCGCGGUAAUACCGGCGGCCCGAGUGGUGGCCGCUAUUAUUGGGCCUAAAGCGUCCGUAGCCGGGCCCGUAAGUCCCUGGCGAAAUCCCACGGCUCAACCGUGGGGCUUGCUGGGGAUACUGCGGGCCUUGGGACCGGGAGAGGCGGGGGGUACCCCUGGGGUAGGGGUGAAAUCCUAUAAUCCCAGGGGGACCGCCAGUGGCGAAGGCGCCCCGCUGGAACGGGUCCGACGGUGAGGGACGAAGGCCAGGGGAGCGAACCGGAUUAGAUACCCGGGUAGUCCUGGCUGUAAAGGAUGCGGGCUAGGUGUCGGGCGAGCUCCGAGCUCGCCCGGUGCCGUAGGGAAGCCGUUAAGCCCGCCGCCUGGGGAGUACGGCCGCAAGGCUGAAACUUAAAGGAAUUGGCGGGGGAGCACUACAAGGGUG
Molecule: ribosomal RNA, 881 nt
Filed under: Thermococcus sp. Tc85_20
Lineage: Archaea; Methanobacteriati; Methanobacteriota; Thermococci; Thermococcales; Thermococcaceae
Description: bacterial SSU rRNA
Rfam family: Archaeal small subunit ribosomal RNA
Source: RNAcentral